UAGGGAAUCUUUGGCAAUGGACGGAAGUCUGACCGAGCAACGCCGCGUGAGUGAAGAAGGUUUUCGGAUCGUAAAGCUCUGUUGUUAGAGAAGAACGUUGGUAGGAGUGGAAAAUCUACCAAGUGACGGUAACUAACCAGAAAGGGACGGCUAACUACGUGCCAGCAGCCGCGGUAAUACGUAGGUCCCGAGCGUUGUCCGGAUUUAUUGGGCGUAAAGCGAGCGCAGGCGGUUCUUUAAGUCUGAAGUUAAAGGCAGUGGCUUAACCAUUGUACGCUUUGGAAACUGGAGGACUUGAGUGCGGAAGGGGAGAGUGGAUUUCCAUGUGUAGCGGUGAAAUGCGUAGAUAUAUGGAGGAACACCGGUGGCGAACGCGGCUCUCUGGUCUGUCACUGACGCGGAGGCUCGAAAGCGUGGGGAGCAAACAGG
RNAcentral lists this ribosomal RNA (429 nucleotides) under Bacillota bacterium. Its description in RNAcentral is "Firmicutes bacterium partial 16S ribosomal RNA". It matches the Rfam family "Bacterial small subunit ribosomal RNA", at positions 355 to 776 of the family's 1533-position model. Lineage: Bacteria; Bacillati; Bacillota. The record is from RNAcentral.